GCGGGUAUAACUCAGUUGGUAGAGUGACUGCCUUCCAAGCAGUAAGUGGUGGGUUCGAAUCCCAUUUCCCGC
This 72-nucleotide transfer RNA is filed under the name Bracteacoccus minor. Its description in RNAcentral is "tRNA-Gly". It matches the Rfam family "tRNA". Rfam says of the family: Transfer RNA (tRNA) molecules are approximately 80 nucleotides in length. Their secondary structure includes four short double-helical elements and three loops (D, anti-codon, and T loops). Lineage: Eukaryota; Viridiplantae; Chlorophyta; Chlorophyceae; Sphaeropleales; Bracteacoccaceae. The record is from RNAcentral. RNAcentral also lists the same sequence under 1 other name.